AAGAUUCCGUAGCCACCGAAGUCGUUAAAUACAGGGACACAGGAACAUAGCCUAACCCCACCGUUGGUUGAGUGGGGCGUAAGGGAGCGAAAAUUAGUAGCGAAGUAGGUGAUUGUACACUGGCGAGAAAAGCUGUAUGAAUUGACAAGGUGCCCGUACCGCAAACCGACACAGGUAGAUGAGGAGAGAAUCCUAAGACCAGCGGGAGAAGUGUUGUUAAGGAACUCGGCAAAAUGACCCCGUAACUUCGGGAUAAGGGGAGCCUACGCGAGUAGGCCGCAGAGAAUAGUCUCAAGCGACUGUUUAGCAAAAACACAGGUCUAUGCUAAAUCGAAAGAUGAUGUAUAUGGGCUGACGCCUGCCCGGUGCUGGAAGGUUAAGGGGAAGUGUUAGAGCAAUCGAAGCACUGAACUUAAGCCCCAGUAAACGGCGGCCGUAACUAUAACGGUCCUAAGGUAGCGAAAUUCCUUGUCAGGUAAGUUCUGACCCGCACGAAUGGCGUAACGACUUGAGAGCUGUCUCAACAACAUACCCGGCGAAAUUGAAGUACUGGUAAAGAUGCCAGUUACCCGUGAUAAGACGGAAAGACCCCAUGGAGCUUUACUGUAACUUGAUAUUGAAUUUUUGUAUUACAUGUACAGGAUAGGUGGGAGACAGAGAACUAAUGCCGCCAGGUGUUAGGGAGUCGAUGUUGGGAUACCACUCUUGUAAUAUGAAGGUUCUAACCUGCACCCGUGAAUCCGGGUGGGGGACACUGUCAGGUGGACAGUUUGACUGGGGCGGUCGCCUCCUAAAAGGUAACGGAGGCGUUCAAAGGUUGGUUCAGCACGGACGGAAAUCGUGCAACGAGUGCAAACGCAUAAACCAGCCUAACUGCGAGACCGACAAGUCGAGCAGUAACGAAAGUUGGAGUUAGUGAUCCGGCGGUAUGAGAGUGGAAUUGCCGUCGCUCAACGGAUAAAAGCUACCCUGGGGAUAACAGGCUGAUCUCCCCCAAGAGUCCACAUCGACGGGGAGGUUUGGCACCUCGAUGUCGGCUCAUCGCAUCCUGGAGCUGUAGUCGGUUCCAAGGGUUGGGCUGUUCGCCCAUUAAAGCGGUACGCGAGCUGGGUUCAGAACGUCGCGAGACAGUUCGGUCCCUAUCUAUCACGGGCGUAGGAAAUUUGAGGAGAGCUGACCUUAGUACGAGAGGACCGGGUUGGACGUACCGCUGGUGCACCUGUUGUUCUGCCAAGGGCAUAGCAGGGUAGCUAAGUACGGACGGGAUAAACGCUGAAGGCAUCUAAGCGUGAAGCCCCCUUCGAGAUAAGAUUUCCCAUAGCGUAGGCUAGUAAGGACCCAUGAAGACUACAUGGUUGAUAGGCCGGAGGUGGAAGUGCAGUAAUGUAUGCAGCUGACCGGUACUAAUAGUCCGAGGGCUUGACCAA
This 1427-nucleotide ribosomal RNA is filed under the name human gut metagenome. RNAcentral's name for it is "bacterial LSU rRNA". It matches the Rfam family "Bacterial large subunit ribosomal RNA", at positions 1432 to 2925 of the family's 2925-position model. The record is from RNAcentral.